This 912-nucleotide unclassified non-coding RNA is filed under the name Anthonomus grandis grandis. Its description in RNAcentral is "longitudinals lacking protein-like". Lineage: Eukaryota; Metazoa; Arthropoda; Insecta; Coleoptera; Curculionidae. The record is from RNAcentral.
GCUCUCUCACAUGUGUCAAAUGAUCAUGACAUGUGUCAAAUGUUGUUUUUGUAUGAAUGUUCUGUCGUGUAUUAUUCCGUAUCCUUUUUGUUAAUAAUAAGAAAAAAACAUAUUUGAAAAAUUUCUUUUUCAAUUUAUAUAACGAAAAUUAUUACACAAUUCACGCCGCAAGAAUGGCUGAUCAGCAGCAGUUCUUUUUAAAAUGGAACGACUUUCAAAGCAAUAUGGUCUCCUCUUUUAGGCAUUUAAGGGAUGAAAAAAGCUUUACAGAUGUUACCUUAGCUUGUGAGGGCCAAACAUGUAAAGCACACAAGAUGGUCUUGUCUGCAUGUAGUCCAUAUUUUAAAAGCUUAUUGGAGGAAAAUCCUUCAAAACACCCCAUUAUAAUCCUUAAGGAUGUGGCAUACAGCCACCUGCAAGCCAUCCUAGAGUUCAUGUAUGCCGGUGAGGUUAAUGUGAGCCAGGAACAGCUUCCUGCUUUCUUAAAAACCGCUGACCGGCUGAAGGUGAAAGGGCUGGCGGAGGCGCCGCAAGCAAUAAAAAGGGAAUAAUGAUUUCUUGACUUCGUAGUUAGCUUUCAGCAGGUGGGGAAAAUGAAGAAGGUGGCGAUUAUAACUGUUAAAUGUGGGUAAACUGUCUUAAUUACUGUUGGCAGCAAUUUAAUAAUAUUAAGAAGGAAGAAAAUAAGAUUUAGGAGGGCCAGGCAUCACAUGUAAUAGGAAAGAUAUAUACGACAGUUAUUUAGUAGUUUGAUAAAUAUGAUUCUUUCCAGAUAAAGUUAAACCAGAUAUUUUUUGCCUUCAAGAAAGUUAUAGUAUAGAGAACUUUAUUCUGUAAUACCUUUAUUCGAAUUUUACAAUUUACAACCUUUAUACAAAAUAAAAUCUUACUGGAAAUAUAAUAUGAAUUAUA